This is a long non-coding RNA of Ruditapes philippinarum (Manila clam), 464 nucleotides long. RefSeq lists it as uncharacterized. The record is from RefSeq and is a predicted model, not a curated record. Lineage: Eukaryota; Metazoa; Mollusca; Bivalvia; Venerida; Veneridae. The transcript is spliced from 3 exons.
UUUCACCCUAUACUGUGUAAAUAUAUGGGUUGUGUAAUUUAAGCUAAAAAUAAUAGCUUAAUGUUGAGACAUAAUUUUAUCGACUGUUUUUAUUGGGUGAUUUGUUUGGGUGUUUUAAGUAUGGAUUACUUAAUAUAAAUACUGAUAUGACCAGACUUACAAACUCUUAAUAUGAAUCGUAGGUUAUUCUUUGGGACAAGUUGUGCUUGUUGUAAAUGAAUACCAAUAUAAACAUCACAAAAAAGUUUUCGAUGACAACAAACAUAGAUAGUUGUUAGAUACAUGGAAUAUGGCGGGUGUGAGUGAACGCCUACAGCCAGACAUAGGAAAGCUGAAUAUCAAAACAAAAGGAGAAGAUGUUGCUGAUUUAGUACAGAACAUUUCAAAUUUAUCGCCAACAACACAAGAACAUUUAGGUGUACUGCUGAGAAGUAUUUCAAAUGGAACGGGUAAUUUUAGAAAAU